UCCGUAGGGAGCAAGCGUUGUUCGGAUUUACUGGGCGUAAAGCGCGCGUAGGCGGCUUUGCAAGUCGGGUGUGAAAUCCCCAGGCUUAACCUGGGAACUGCAUUCGAGACUGCAUUGCUAGAGUAUGGGAGAGGGAAGUGGAAUUUCCGGUGUAGCGGUGAAAUGCGUAGAUAUCGGAAGGAACAUCAGUGGCGAAAGCGACUUCCUGGACCAAUACUGACGCUCAUGUGCGAAAGCGUGGGGAGCAAACAGG
Molecule: ribosomal RNA, 253 nt
Filed under: uncultured bacterium
Lineage: Bacteria
Description: partial 16S ribosomal RNA
Rfam family: Bacterial small subunit ribosomal RNA
Source: RNAcentral